Molecule: small RNA, 2995 nt
Filed under: Pan troglodytes (chimpanzee)
Lineage: Eukaryota; Metazoa; Chordata; Mammalia; Primates; Hominidae
Description: retained intron
Source: RNAcentral
AUAAGUAAUAGUAGUAGCUUGUAGUGAGGGUUUACCAAAGUCUUAUCUAUAGUCCUCUGAGACUUUAGGGAGAGAAUCCUUAUUUAACCUCAUGAGAUAGAUUCCCCACCCCCAACCUGAGCUGAGCAGCUAAAGCUUGGGGCGCUGCAGGCUGGGGAGGCUGAGUGCACCAGCGCCCAUGACCUACAACUCUCCCCUUCGCAGACCCCUUCUUCAGGAGCGCCCAGCCCUGGAUCGCAGCCCUGGCAGGGACCCUGCCUAUCUUGCUGCUACUUCUCGCCGGAGCCAGUUACUUCUUGUGGAGACAACAGAAGGAAAUAACUGCUCUGUCCAGUGAGAUAGAAAGUGAGCAAGAGAUGAAAGAAAUGGGAUAUGCUGCAACAGAGCAGGAAAUAAGCCUAAGAGGUAUCCAACGCAAGCAGAGAAUCUAAGCUCUUGGCUUGCAUGCCCCAGCCUGAAAACCUCACCUCUCUCCCCCACCCUGGCACUGCAUCAUGUUUAAGGUUUAUUUCCCAAAACACCAACCUCACCCAUAACAGUUCAUCUUUUUUUUUUUUUUUUUUUUUUUUUUUGGUUAUUUUCCAGAGAGCCUCCAGGAGGAACUCAGUAAGUUACCAUUCCCCCAGAGAUCCAGACAUGUCUUCCUAUCCUCGCUUUGAGCACCUUGAUGACUCUUCCCUGUUCAUUCCAUUGCAGAGAGGAAAAAAAUCCAGUACUUGACUCAUGAGUGGCUUUGACAUUUUCUCUGAAUUCAAAUCUAUUACUCUCUCUCUGCUUCAUUGUUUUCCAGCCCAUAAGUCAUAGCCCAGGGUUGAAAAGUGGUCUUGGAUCCCUUUACCCAGAAAAAGAAAACAAGUGUGGCUCUUUGGAGAAACCACCCAGUGCUUUUUCUCUCUAGAAAAAAAAAAAAAAAAAAAAGAGGUCUUCAAUCUCUUUGUACUAGGGGCUACAGACCCUUAAGCUCUAAAAAGCACUGAGGAAUAUCCAGGGGUACACUUCAAAAGGAAGAGGGAAGAGAAGGAUGAGGUGCAUUUUCUAUGGCAGGAAACUUGUUGUUUCCCAUAAUCUAGAGGCUGUUGAAAGGAAAACAAGAAUGGAAGAUGUAAGAAAUGAGAAAAUCAGAAAAGAGAGAGGGAGGGAGAAAAGUGUGUCUAAUAAAGAGGAGUAGCUACAGUGGCUCAGUUGGUACAGAUAGAUCAUAACUGCUUUCAAAAACUAGUCCCUGAAAUUGCUCAUUAAAUUUCCCAAAUUCUUUUUAGAGCAAGGUAGGAAAUGAUACAGAUUGAGAAGGAUGAAUCUUGUACUCCUAGGCAUACACAUAUAGACAUGGUGACACCUAUGCCCAGGUACAGAUUCAAAACAGAUGAGCUGGACCCCAUUGGGAAGGAACUCUCAUAGUGCCUGCCCUGCCACUAGCGUUCAACCAAUGUUCCCACACUUGAUAUUAAGAAGAGGUGAAGAAAGAAUUGUACCUGCAGAUGGAGACCGUGGGGAAGGGUGGGAUGGCAAAAAAAAAAAAAAAAAAAAAAAAAAAGACUAGAUGGAUGCAAAAAGAAGGGGAAGGGGCCAACACAGAAAAGGCAGAGUUCUGGUGACACCUCUACCUUUCUUUCAUUGUAGGUGGAGAGGAGUCUUCGUCCGAUACCAAUAAGUCAGCCUGAUGCUCUGUAAGUUUGCUGGGUCACAUGCCCUGAAUAUUUCAACUUUUUCUCCACUGUGACCCAUGGAUGCGCUCAGCUGGAUUAAUUAGAUCUAAUCUAAAGACUCAAUUUCUGUGUGGUGGGGGUUCACCUCCACUUUUCUGGAGCCUCUGAGAAACUCCUGAUCCUGCACACCCCCUUGUAAAGCCUGGCCAUGCAUCCUGCACCCCCCAUGACACAGGGAGCCAAGCCUGACAUUUUUGAGAAGGUGCCACCUCUGAUCCAUCAGAGCUGUAGAGGAGGGAAGCUGGACCCUGGAAGAGACUCUGAAGAAAAGGAGAGAAAACAUGUAGUGAGAGGAGAAUGGAGUGGGAAAAGUACAAAAAUACUGACCUUUUUCUUAUCUGUGUCUCCUUCCUUUCAGAAUGGAAAAAUGGCCCUCUUCAAGCCUGGUGAGUAAAUCACUGCAUGUUCCCUGGACCAACAACCUGAGGGACUACAUUCCUUUUUCCUUUUUUCUUCUCCAACUCUUGUGAUUUGGAGCAGAAAAGUUCCCUUGACUUCCUUCCUGGGUAGGAAGACGCAUAAAGGGUGGAGGUGAGGGGAAGGAGACACACACUGAGUAAUACUGCAGGGAGAGUGAGGAUGGAAAUGCCAAGGAGAGGAGGUGAUGUGUGCCCAAAGAACUUUGUCCUUCCCAGGCUUCUCAUGCCACCUACUGCCUGUAUCUCCUCAAAGGAUUUAAUGCUUCCAAGCUUUGGCCUCCACAUUUUUAGAUGAUGAUUGCAAUCUGUUUUUCAUGGGGGUUGAGGUGAAGACUGAAGGAAUAAUGAACAUGCUUGGCAGAAACCUAGCAAGAAAUAGAUGGUGAGCUCAAACGGGGUAGUUGAACAAGGUUUCCAGAAAGAAGGGUUAAGGGAAAGCAACAAGGAAAAGUGCAGUGCCCCCAUGGUUCCCAACAGUAGGGAGCUGUCUCCACCCCUAGCCUGGGAGGGCUAGAAAGGGGAGGCAAUUACUGGAACCCAGAGAAAGAGGUAGCUUAAAGAGGGAGCUUCCUGAGAAGAGUCGUCAGGCCUUGUUAGAGCACCACCAGCUGCUGCUGGCAGGGAGGAAGGAGGAAAUUAAACGGUGUGUCUCUCCUUUCUUUCUCCUUCUAAUCUUCUAUCAGGGCCUCCCAUUGGCCAAACACAACAGCAAACCAGAGGACAAGGGAGCCCAGUGGCACUGUCCAUAGAGGACAGAUUCCUGGGGUCCAGAAGAGGGUGGAGAAAGCUGAAGGCUGGAGAGUGAAUCUAGGGCAUAUAAGGUGCCGCACAGAGCCCAGCACAGAGACGGCCUUGCAGCUAUCAGGAAGA